This is a long non-coding RNA of Leucoraja erinaceus (little skate), 6020 nucleotides long. RefSeq lists it as uncharacterized. Lineage: Eukaryota; Metazoa; Chordata; Chondrichthyes; Rajiformes; Rajidae. The transcript is spliced from 3 exons. The record is from RefSeq and is a predicted model, not a curated record.
UCCUUGCACUGUCUGGUAGUAUUAACGUGUAAUUUAUAUAUAAUUCAUGUUUUUGAUUGUUUUCUGGGUCUUUAUGUCUGUAACACUGCUAUAGGCAAGAUUUUCAUUGCACCUGUGCUUCAUCAAAAUUCACAAAACUUGACUUAACUGGAUGGGACUUCAUUAGUUUUAACAUUUAAUUUUCUUCCCUUCCAUUUAAUUUCUCACCACUCUGUGCUCUGCCUACCUAAGUCCUAUAAUUGUUUUUCAAAGGACAGCAUGGGAUGUAUCAUCUCGUGUCUUAUUCUUUGCCUCGUCUACUCGUACCUUGUUGUUAACAUACUAACUGAUCACAUAGUUCAUUUUCCAGUUCCCCAAUAUUCUUGAGGAUGUGCAGCGGGGAAGGAGAGAUAAAGGAAAGCACAGACUACAGUUCAUUUAGCCUAACAUCACUGAUGAGGAAAAUGCCAGUCUAUUAUUUAGAAUGAGAUAACAGGACGCUUAGAAAAUAUCAAUGAGAUUAGGCAAAGUCAGCAUAGGUUUAUGAAAGGGAAAUUGUGUCUGAUAAACAAACUGGAGCGUUUGAUGAUGUAACUGGUGGUAGAGAUAAGGGAACACUAAUAGAGUUUUACACUUGGAUUUUCAGGACAUUUUAACAAAGUACUGCAUAAAACAUCAGCUUGCAAAUUAGAGGUAUUGGUGGAACAUAAUGGCAUGGAUUGAAAAUUAGUUGACUGACAGGAACCUUCUUCUUCUUGCGUAUUGCGUGCACAGCCUAAAGUUGUAGGACAACUUGUUCUAUUUGAUCUUAUUUGAUUGUGCAUGCCAGGUUGAGUGCAUUCAUUAAAAUAGGGUGGACCACGUGAAGGUUGCAAUCUCCCACCCCAGACAGGAACUAAACAGUAGGAAUGAAUGGGUAAUUUUCAGAGUGGCAACGGUGUGCGAUUUCGCAGGGCUCAGUGCUUGGACUUCAGCUGUUAACAUACAUCAGAUGAGGAAACAGAAUAGAAAGUUUGUCAAUUACACAAAUGCAUGAGAUUGUGUUUUAUGAGAUGGAUGAGAGGAGACUCCAACGUGACUGAGAUGGAUUGAGUGAGUGGGUAUAAACAUGGCAGAUAUAAUAUAACGUGGGGACACAAGGAACUGCAGAUGCUGGAAUCUUGCGUGGAACACAAAGUGUUGGAGUAAUUUUGCGGGUCAGCCAACACCACUGGAGGACAUGGCUAGGUUUAUCAAUGUCCUUCAGAGAUACUGCUUGACCGGCUGAGUUACUCUAGCAUUGUGUUCUAUACUAUAAUGUGGAUUUCUGUGCAUAAUUAUUUAGAUUCGAAGGGGUCUUUGCCUGAAAUGUUAGCUCUGUUUAUCUUCCCACAAAUGCAGCCUGACCACUGAGUUCUGCUUUUUUCUGCUUUUAUUUUAAAUUUACAGCUUCUCCAGUUAAUUUUUGAUUUUCACACAGGAAAACAAAAUGUCAUUUAAGUAGAGAGGGACAACAGAACAAUGCAGUACAGAGGGAUGUGGCAUUGUCCCACAUGAAACACAUUAAGAUAGCAGAGAGUUACAGCAAUGAAUAAAGAAGGUAAUGAAAUGUUGAAGACACAGGAGACUUGAGGGUCUUGAAGAAAGGUCCUGACUCAAAAUGUUGUCUGGGCAUUUCCUUUCACAGAAGCUGCCUGACCCACUGAGUUUCUCCAGCACUUUAUUAGUCUACUCCAUGAAAUGUUUAUUACAAGUGCGAUAGAGCAUAAAAUAAGGCAAGUCAGCACUACGGGGUGUGGUGAGACUACAUCAAUAAUACUGAGCACAGUAUUUUUUUGAGGGUGUGAAGUUCUUGAGGCUGGUAGGUUUUGUACAUAGUGAGGAAAAUUUGAUUAUGAGCCCCAGGCAGGACAGAGAAGUUGAUGCCCAUUAUCAGAUCGGCUGUGAUAGUACUGAAUGGCAGUGAUGGCCUGAGGGACAAUCUAACCUCUUCCUGUUUAUUAAAUUCUUACAUUGGCAAAUAGGGAAUGGGGAAAUCAUAAGCCGUGUCUUAACCAAGUGGACAUGACAGAUCAUGUUAACAUUGGACAUUGUGUAAAAUGCACAAGAUCAGAUCGGGCAACUUAUCAGACCGAGAGACCAGGUGGAUCACAAUCAGAUAUCACUGCUUUAUGUGAUCGCACAGAAUUUAAAACACCAGCACAGUCCCAUCCUCUACUCCUACUCUCAUUACUGCCCCGAUACAUGGAGAGUUCACUGUAAUCCAAGCAAUGCUGCUGUGAUUUCCUUUCCACAGAUUUGUUUAUGGUCUUGUUUGCAAAACAUUUUCCAUACCCACACAACCAAGUAGGUGCUCUGGGUUGAGAUAAGCAGUAAUUAGGAGCCUGGCUGAUGAUAUCUUGGCACAGAUGCAAGUGGCUGCUGACUCAGUGAACUCAAUUACGUCAUCUUAAAUUACAGGAAUCUUUGUGCAGAACAAGACUCUCAGUAACAGGAUCGCUGGACGACCGCCCCUCUGUUGCUGGCCUUGAGCCGAUGGCUAUUAUUUUCUCCAAAUUCUGGAAUGCGCUGUCUGAUAAAGUGUAGGCAGAUUUACGGAAACUUUCAAAAGAAAAUUAGACCUAUGAACAGCAACUUGUGAUUAACUCUAUAAAUUAUCCACUGACACUUAACGGGUGCACGCAUCAAGACAGAAUUUGAAAAAAAAAAAGGCAUCUACGGAAGCUUUAGUAGAAGUGACAGGAAUGAAGGAACAUUAAAUGGAGAACAGUGAUUGAAAGCACAGAAGUUUAGGGAGGGAAAUCCAGAGCUCAGGGCCAGACAGCUGAAAUUGUGGCUGCUAGGUGCGGAAGGAUAUACUCAGGGAUGGGCAAAUAUACUGCCUAAAGCAAAUUUGCAAAGAACAUAAGACUUAUUGCAUAUUUUCUCCAUGGAAAAUGUGCAGGUAUGAUGGGCUAAAUAGUUUUAUUCCACAUUGCUGUCUAAAGCAGGGUACCGACCCAAAAGUCACUUGUCCAUGUUCAAGAAGGAACUGCAGAUGCUGGAAAAUCGAAGGUAGACAAAAGCGCUGGAGAAACUCAGCGGGUGCGGAAGCAUCUAUGGAGCGAAGGAAAUAGGCAACGUUUCAGGCCGAAACGUUGCCUAUUUCCUUCACUCCAUAGACGCUGACUUUCUCCAGCAAUUUUGGCUACAGUCACUUAUCCAUGUUCUCCAGAGAUGCUGCCUGACCUGCUGAGUUACUCCAGCACUCUGUGUCCUUUUGUGUAACCUAGUAUCUGUAGUUCCUUGUUUCUACUUCUGCAUUCCACAAACCUUUAAUCCAAUGUGUAAAGCCAGCUAAAAUUCUUGAUGACGCUGAGCCUCUAAUGAAACUCACUCAGACACUGUACUGUGAAAGCCAUUGCAUUAAGAGCAAAGAAACUAAUACAAUCCCACUGCCCUCCCCUGUGAUUGUGGUUAACUGUUAACUGAGCAGAAUGUUCAUGCACUGAUGGAAGCACACUGCCUUCAUUAUACAAUGAUGUGCUUUAAUGUACACAUUCUCACCGUGAAAGUGCACCCAGUCCAACAAUCCCUGGAGGUUCAGGACUGGCACCUGGUGACCAGGAAAAUCUUAAAACUCCCACCCUUGUUCCAAAAUGAGUGCAGAGAACCACUGAACUCGGUAAUGGGGAAAGUUAUGGGAUUAAUAGGCAGGUAUCUUCCACUAUCUCCCUGUCACCCUGCUCCUUUUCCAAUCUUCGUUCAGUCGUCUCCCAUUCCCAAAUCCCUCAUUCCACUUUUAUCUCAUCUCCCCUAAUCCCUUCUGACUCUACACUUCAGUUCCUCCUCUCCUCUCCUUAUUCUGACACCCUUUGUCUGCUUUUUAUCUAUAACCUUGUCACUUACACCACUCAGCUGCCAUUUAAAAACGAUCUCACAAAUAUCCAGCUAUCACUUGUCAGGCUUUGUCCUGUCCCCACCUCUCUUUUGCAGCUUUCCUUCCCCCACUACUAGCAGUAGGGUCCCAGUCAAAAAUGUUACAUGUCCAUUUCCUCCACUGGUGUUUGCCACAGAAGGCUGUGAAGGCAAAGUCAGUGGAUAUAUUUAAGGCAGAAAUAGAUAGAUUCUUGAUUAAUACGUGUGUCAGUGGUUAUGGGGAGAAGGCAGUAGAAACAAGGAUGGAGAGAUAGUUCAGCCAUAAUUGAAUGGCAGAGUAGACAUGAUGGGCCGAAUGACCCAUCUGAUGAUCUAUGUUGCUGGACCUGCUGAGUUUCUCCAGCACAUUUUAUCUGUUUUAGAACAAGUAAGAUGGUGGCCAGACCAAAAGCAUUUGGGACACGUCGUGACCUAAGUGAUGGGACCGUUCUUGCAAUCCCUCACGUUCAAUGAAGUGGUCCAGCUGGUGCCAGUCCCUGGAUGGAGGCAAUGAGGUGCACUUGUUUUCUCUUAUGAAACAUAACGUUAGUUAUGACAAACCAUCUUGUCAGGAGGGGGACCCCACUGGAUCCAGCUUUCCCAAUUCCUUCUCUGCCACUCAUACCUUUAAUCAAUGGCAUCUCAACAUCCCUCUUUAACACAACAGCAAUGCAGAGCUCGCUGGAGAUUGACUUGUCAAUAGACUUCUUGUCAAUAAAUAAACAAUUGUCUGGAUGCUUGUGCAUCAUCAAACCCACUCAUGAACUGCACUGAACAACACUCAUUGACAUUUUUUCAUAGGAAGCUAAGUAUCUACUUCCAUUCCCAGCUGGAAACAGAAUAUACCUUCUAAAGCCUACCCUCCAGUACUAUUAUUUAAUAUUGGAUAUUGAGAAACCCCAGUCUCUCCUUCUUGAGUAUCUGUGUCUUUCUGUGAAACAAUCACCCCUUUGAUACCUGUGGAAUGUUACCUGCUGUGUGAUUGGAGACUUCUCUCGACAAGAGUUCACACUUUUGUCUUUGUUGAAAUUUGAGCCGCAGUGUACGAACACUGUUGUUUGGCAGCUCUGGAAUGACUGGCAGCUCCUCUGAAUUUGUUUGUCAGUCUGAGACAAAAGCUGUGAUUUUUUUCUUCCCCUCUGAGGCAUUUAAUUUGACAAGGACUAAAUGGCAAGGAAGAGAUAUUCGAAGAGAUCGGUCAGUAGAAAAUGUGAGAAAGUCCCUGAACAGUUCUUGACUUCAGCUGCGUGGAGGUUGCAUGUUGCAAUAGAUCAAAUAUCUGCCAGUUAUAGGCUGUAUUUGUGAAUGGAGCUUUACAAUACUGUGCAAAGGUGGGGAGAAGUCAGAUCUAGCCAGCAAUCUGUUUCCAUCUUGGUGAUUAGAUAACAGAUGCUGCCUGACCACUGAGUUUCUCCAGCAGUUUGCUUUGCGCUCAAGAUUCCAGCAUCUGCAAUCUCUUAUGUCUCCAUAAAAAUUGGAACGCUCAUGCGCAAUCUAUGAUAUGUCCCUCAACAAGUCUAUGAGUCAACAUCAAUUAAAGGGCGGCAUGGUGGCACAGCGUUAGAGUUAAUGCCUUACAGUGCCAGAGACACGGGUUCGAUCCUGAAUAUCACUACGGAGUUUGUGUGUAGAGAUAUUAUCGGGGUGCAUCAAAGCGUGGUUUGUCAACAGCGACAUCCAAGAUGCAAGAAAUUGCAGAGAGUUGUGGCCUAGUCCAGAUCAUCAUGCAAACCAAUCUCGCUUCCAUUGAUUCCAUCUACACUUCAUGCUCCCUCGGCAAGACCACCAGUACAAUCAACAACCAGUCUCACCCCGGUCAAGCCCUCUUCUGCCCUCUCCCAUCAGGCAAGAGGUACAGAAGUUUGAGAAAGCAUACUUCCAGAUUCAGGAACAGUUUGUUCCCUGCUGUUAUCAGGCAACUGAAUGGUCCUCUCAUCAACUAGAGCGCAGUCCUGACCUCCAAUCUACCUCAUUGGACACCUUUGUACUAUCUUUAAUUGGACUUUUUCAGACUUUAUCUUGAACUAUAUGUUGUAUCCUUUCUCAUUUAUCUGAACACUGUGGACGACUUGAUUGUAAUCAUGUAUAAUCUUUUCUUUGACUUGAUAGCAUGCAAAAAACCUUUUCACUGUACCUCAGUAUGUGUGACAAUAAUAAACUAAACU